RNAcentral lists this ribosomal RNA (479 nucleotides) under uncultured bacterium. RNAcentral describes it as "partial 16S ribosomal RNA". It matches the Rfam family "Bacterial small subunit ribosomal RNA", at positions 28 to 507 of the family's 1533-position model. The record is from RNAcentral.
GAUGAACGCUAGCGGGAGGCCUAACACAUGCAAGCCGAGCGGUAUUGUUUCUUCGGAACUGAGAGAGCGGCGUACGGGUGCGUAACACGUGUGCAACCUGCCUUUAUCUGGGGGAUAGCCUUUCGAAAGGAAGAUUAAUACUCCAUAAUAUAUUGAACGGCAUCGUUUAGUAUUGAAAGCUCCGGCGGAUAGAGAUGGGCACGCGCAAGAUUAGCUAGUUGGUGAGGUAACGGCUCACCAAGGCGAUGAUCUUUAGGGGGCCUGAGAGGGUGAUCCCCCACACUGGUACUGAGACACGGACCAGACUCCUACGGGAGGCAGCAGUGAGGAAGAUUGGUCAAUGGGUGCAAGCCUGAACCAGCCAUCCCGCGUGAAGGACGACUGCCCUAUGGGUUGUAAACUUCUUUUGUAUAGGGAUAAACCUACCCUCGUGAGGGUAGCUGAAGGUACUAUACGAAUAAGCACCGGCUAACUCCGUG